ACUUUGCACGAGCCUCCCUCUUUCGCGACCGACCGUGACUUUUUCACAUCGAUGGUUGGUGUAAAGAGGACUGAGCUUUUGGAAAUCAUUCAGAUCCUUCACACUGAUGGAACACCGAAAUAACUGAAUCAGUCUAUGAUGUUUUCAACAGAGUACUGUAUGGUGACUGCAGAAGCUGGUG
Archocentrus centrarchus (flier cichlid) is the source of this 181-nucleotide long non-coding RNA. RefSeq lists it as uncharacterized. The record is from RefSeq and is a predicted model, not a curated record. Lineage: Eukaryota; Metazoa; Chordata; Actinopteri; Cichliformes; Cichlidae. The transcript is spliced from 3 exons.